This 253-nucleotide ribosomal RNA is filed under the name uncultured bacterium. Its description in RNAcentral is "partial 16S ribosomal RNA". It matches the Rfam family "Bacterial small subunit ribosomal RNA", at positions 524 to 776 of the family's 1533-position model. The record is from RNAcentral.
UACGUAGGGCGCGAGCGUUGUCCGGAAUUAUUGGGCGUAAAGAGCUCGUAGGCGGCCUGUUGCGUCCGCUGUGAAAUCCCGGGGCUCAACCCCGGGCUUGCAGUGGAUACGGGCUGGCUAGAGGCAGGCAGGGGAGAACGGAAUUCCCGGUGUAGCGGUGAAAUGCGCAGAUAUCAGGAGGAACACCGAUGGCGAAGGCAGCUUCCUGGCCCAAUUCUGACGCUGAGGUGCGAAAGCGUGGGUAGCGAACGGG